UACGUAGGGUGCAAGCGUUGUCCGGAAUUACUGGGCGUAAAGCGUGCGCAGGCGGUUCGGAAAGAAAGGUGUGAAAUCCCAGGGCUUAACCUUGGAACGGCACUUUUAACUCCCGAGCUAGAGUAUGUCAGAGGGGGGUAGAAUUCCACGUGUAGCAGUGAAAUGCGUAGAGAUGUGGAGGAAUACCGAUGGCGAAGGCAGCCCCCUGGGAUAAUACUGACGCUCAUGCACGAAAGCGUGGGGAGCAAACAGG
RNAcentral lists this ribosomal RNA (253 nucleotides) under uncultured bacterium. RNAcentral's name for it is "partial 16S ribosomal RNA". It matches the Rfam family "Bacterial small subunit ribosomal RNA", at positions 524 to 776 of the family's 1533-position model. The record is from RNAcentral.